RNAcentral lists this ribosomal RNA (468 nucleotides) under uncultured bacterium. RNAcentral describes it as "partial 16S ribosomal RNA". It matches the Rfam family "Bacterial small subunit ribosomal RNA", at positions 28 to 507 of the family's 1533-position model. The record is from RNAcentral.
GACGAACGCUGGCGGCGUGCUUAACACAUGCAAGUCGAACGGAAAGGCCCUGCUUUUGUGGGGUGCUCGAGUGGCGAACGGGUGAGUAACACGUGAGUAACCUGCCCUUGACUUUGGGAUAACUUCAGGAAACUGGGGCUAAUACCGGAUAGGAGCUCCUGCUGCAUGGUGGGGGUUGGAAAGUUUCGGCGGUUGGGGAUGGACUCGCGGCUUAUCAGCUUGUUGGUGGGGUAGUGGCUUACCAAGGCUUUGACGGGUAGCCGGCCUGAGAGGGUGACCGGCCACAUUGGGACUGAGAUACGGCCCAGACUCCUACGGGAGGCAGCAGUGGGGAAUAUUGCACAAUGGGCGGAAGCUUGAUGCAGCAACGCCGCGUGCGGGAUGACGGCCUUCGGGUUGUAAACCGCUUUCGCCUGUGACGAAGCGUGAGUGACAGUAAUGGGUAAAGAAGCACCGGCUAACUACGUG